AUAAAAUAAGCAUAAAUGUUAUGCAAAUACCAUAUGGACAGAGAAAUAUGUAAAAGUGAAUUCAUGCUUUAUAAAUAAGAAAUUGCAUUUAUUCCACUGCUGUUUUAUGAUGAGUUUCAUCUACUUAAGGCGGCAGUGAAUUUGCAAAGAUUUCCGAUGCUAACAUUGCCGCAUGGAGGGGGGUCAGAAGGCAUGUAAAGGUGAGUUAUACUUAUUUGGAACUGGCAC
This is a non-coding RNA of Pelobates cultripes (western spadefoot toad), 228 nucleotides long. NCBI's taxonomy places the organism in Eukaryota, Metazoa, Chordata, Amphibia, Anura, Pelobatidae. The record is from the annotation of a GenBank genome assembly.